Molecule: non-coding RNA, 147 nt
Organism: Pan troglodytes (chimpanzee)
Lineage: Eukaryota; Metazoa; Chordata; Mammalia; Primates; Hominidae
Rfam family: Metazoan signal recognition particle RNA
About the family: The signal recognition particle (SRP) is a universally conserved ribonucleoprotein. It is involved in the co-translational targeting of proteins to membranes. The eukaryotic SRP consists of a 300-nucleotide 7S RNA and six proteins: SRPs 72, 68, 54, 19, 14, and 9.
Source: Rfam
GCUGGGUGUGGUGGUGCACGCCUGUAGUCCCAGCUACUCAGGAGGCUGAGGCAGGAGAAUUGCUUGAACCCAGGAGGCGGAGGUUGCAGUGAGCCAGAUCGCACCACUGCAUUCCAGCCUGGGUGACAAAGCAAGACUCUGUUUCAA